Alligator mississippiensis (American alligator) is the source of this 4446-nucleotide RNA transcript. It is a transcript of the gene named F-box DNA helicase 1, with no coding region annotated. The record is from RefSeq and is a predicted model, not a curated record. Lineage: Eukaryota; Metazoa; Chordata; Crocodylia; Alligatoridae. The transcript has 22 exons.
AGGAAGCAGCAGCAGCAGGAGGAGGGGGAGGCGUUUGGUUGCGCGCGCAAGGGAAGGAGCCUGCAGAGCUGCAGCAGGAUGAGACGGUUUAAGAAAGUGCAUCUCACGGCCAGCGACUGCGAAGCCUUCAGCCACAGCAGAGAGGGCUCGUCCCCCCUGACGCAGCCUGUCGGGCAAGCUCAGACCGGCAGAGACUUCAACAGGGGUCUCUACCCGACAUACUGGACCAGGAGACAGCAAGAAGGGAAGGGUCAUCAGAAGAGCAUCACUUCUCAUUUCAAAACCCAGCAGCACGCGGGUGAUAGAGAGGCAGAAAGCUGUGAAAACCAAGAGCCAGAGGCAAAAAGCCACAAGGUCAAAGAAGAGCUGGAAGACCCCUUCUUCAGCGAUGAGGAGUUGUUGUCCAGCCUGGAGGAACCUUCUUUUCUGGCUGGAGAGGCUGAAAGUGCCGAAGCAGCUGUCUCCAGGAAGCGGCCUCUCCUUCCCGAUGCAUCUGGCAGCUGCGAUGCAGGCUACGACAAGUGGGGUAAACCUGGCGAAGCCCUCAGGACUGACAUUUUCCUUCCAGAGCCUCCCGGACAGAAUGAAAGCCGACGGGCGAUCAAACAGGAGCUCGAUAUCGACCCACUUCCUGAUCCCUGCUUCGGGCUCUUGGGGACGUCAAGCGGGACGGAGCCCCAGGGACACAUUGACCAGCUGCCGGAUGAGGUCCUGAGCCAUAUCUUUGCUUGCCUCCCUGUGAGUGAUCUCUACCAGAGCCUGAGCCUCGUGUGUCACCGCUGGAAACGCAUCAUCAGGGAUCCCCUGUUCAUCCCAUGGAAGAAGCUGUACUACCAGUACCUGCUGAAGGAGAACCCCACUCUGAUCACCGUGGGAGUGAUUUUGGACCGUUACGGUAUAACAAAAGAGCAGGAUCAGUGUAUGCUGGGGCUUAUAAGGUACGUGUCUACCUUAAGCAGCGACCGAAGAGUAGACUCCGAUAAGGUUCUCCAGUGUUUGAAGAGCCACCGUCUCUUUACCAAGGCAGAAAUCUGCAUCACCAACAAGCUGCCUGAUUUAAAGAGCACAGCGGGGGCAGCGAUGGCGUGGGCGGUGAUAGCAACCAUUGUGCUGUUCUCGGAUGCGGUGCGUGACAUCCAGAAGCUGAUGGCCUGCCUGAGGAGACCCUGCUCUACCGUUUCGGUCGUGGAGGUUGUUGAGACCUUGUACUGUCUGGCCACCCUGCUGUACGCAAUGAGGGAGAAGGACAUUGAUAUCAGCAACAGGCUCCAUUACAAUAUAUUCUAUUACUUGUAUCUGAUGGAGAACUCUUGUUCUGCUGUUAAGACCGUAGAGCAGGCAGUGCCCGGUUUGCCAUGCGUGAGAGACCUCUGGUCCAGGAGUAAACUUGAUUUAAAAUUAACCCAUGAACAGCAAAGGAUCCUGAAACAUGAAAUUAAACCAGGUCAUAUAGUCAAAAUCAUGGCAUUUGCAGGUACUGGAAAGACCUCGACUCUGAUCAAGUACGCAGAGAAAUUUUCCAACCUUAAUUUCCUGUAUGUGGCAUUUAACAAAUCCAUUGUGGAAAAUGGGAAGAAGGUUUUCCCCCAUAACGUCACCUGCAAGACUUUCCACUCGUUAGCUUUUGCGACUUUUGGCAAACAAUAUAAAGAAAAAGGCAAGCUGAACUUCUCCAAGCUGUCGCCUUACACGAUCAGCUUCCAACUCAAAACCCGCCAGGGGCAGUCUCUGUUCGUGCGGGGGAAGACGGUCACUCAGACGCUCGAGAGCUUUUUCUCCUCUUCAGAUGAGUUCAUAUCCACAGAGCACACUCCCAUAUGGUGCAAAAAUACACAUGGGAUGCGGGUCCUUGUCACCGAGGGGGAGAAGAGUAUCAUUGUCGAGGAAGCAAGACGGAUAUGGGACAAUAUGAAGGCGCUGAACAGAGCUACAGAAAUGAACUGCAAAAUAACGUGUGAUGGGUACUUGAAACUUUGGCAGCUUAGCAAGCCACAGCUGUCGGGAUAUCACGCCAUAUUUGUCGAUGAGGCGCAAGACUGCACUCCAGCCAUCAUGAACGUGGUGCUGUCCCAGACCUGCGGAGUCAUCUUCGUGGGGGACCCGCACCAGCAGAUCUACUCCUUCCGAGGGGCUGUCAAUGCACUUUUUGAAGUGCCGCACACUCACAUCUACUAUCUCACCCGGAGCUUCCGAUUUGGUCCUGAAAUAGCUUAUGUUGGAGCUACCAUCCUGGACGUCUGCAAGAAAGUCAGGAGUAAGAUGUUAGUGGGCGGAGAUCAAGAAGGUGACAUAAGAGGCAGCACGACGGGGAAGAUAGCCCUCAUAUCCCGGGGCAAUUUAAAUGUGUUUGAGGAUGCGGUGAAGAUCACUGGAAGAGAGCAGCCCACAAGAAUACAUUUGAUUGGGGGCCUUGCUCGUUUUGGACUAGACAAAAUCCAUGAUAUUUGGAAGCUCCUUCAACCUAAAGAUGUACGGGAGGCAUCAAACCUGAGAAUAAGUGACCCUUUUAUCAAAAAGUGGGAUGAGUCUGAGGGCUUCCAGGGUCUAAAGGGAUAUGCCACGACCAGUGAAGACAAGGAGCUGGAAGUGAAGAUCGCGAUAGUGGAGAAAUACAAUGUCCGGAUUCCCGAGCUGGUGCAGAAGAUCAAGGCCAGUCAUACAUCAAACACAGAAUUUGCAGAUUACCUGAUCGGCACCGUACACCAAGCCAAGGGCCUGGAGUUCGAUACAGUGCUGCUUGCAGAUGAUUUUGUGAAAGUCCCGUGUGCCAAACACAAUCUCCAGAGGCUGCCUCAAUUUAGUCCUGCUAUAUAUGCCGAGGAUGAGUGGAACUUGCUCUAUGUUGCGGUGACCCGUGCCAAAAAGUGCCUGUUAAUGACAAAGUCCCUAGAAUACGUUUUGACGUUGGCUGGGGAGUACUUGUUGCGGGCAGAACUCACCAGCGAGAUUUUAAAGGAUGGGCCUGUGAAGUGCUCGGUGCCACAGUGCAACAACAGCGUGCCUGCCGAAUCCUUCCUCACCAUGAAGAAACAGCCGUUAACUUACCAUCCUUCAAAUAAGAGUUAUUGCUGAUUAAUGAAACUUCCUGCUAAGCCACUGGUGGUUUGAUAAGUAGAAGAGAUGGACCUAGAGUUACAAAGCCCAUCCCUUUUAAUGGCAUCCGGUCAAUGCUCACCUCUACGUAGAAGGCACAAUAUAACCCAACAGCUGCAAUCAGCAACACCAAUGGAAACACUGCAAAGAACAAACAUUUCUCAGAUUUAGAAAAGUAAGAUCAAUGAACUGAUGCGAUCCCAACACGUAAUAGUCCAGCUGCCUGGCCACAUCUCUAGAUAGAAAGAUGCCAGAAACAUCCCAUCCCGUUUGAACAAGGACUGCACUGUGCCCUUCCUGCCCUGGUUGGACCAAGGUUCACUUGUGAACCGGAGGAGAGAAGGGUUUAUCAAAUUGCCAGUCCAUUGGAUCUUCUUACCUGGGAGGUCUCCCAUGCAAAUACCAAACGGACCUCGUACUGCUUCGUUGGAGGCUUGACAUGCAAUCCCAGCUCCAGAUAGAUUUGACUUCAGGCACUUAAACAUCAACACAACCCCCCCGGACAGCCCUCCUCCUUCCCACAUAUAAGCGACAACCCCUCGUAGAGCAGAAUAAUGCUUACCCGUAGAAGAAAUCAUGACCUGGGUGAAACCUGGGGAUGAACACAAGAGAGCAGAGGUUACACCUCCACAGAGCCAAUGAGUUUAUUACCUCCAUAUUGCUCACAUGGUCAGCAAGAUGCAGAUCAGCAUUUGACCCAAGCAAAACCCAACACAAUGCUAUCUGACUGCCCUUAUCAGCCUGAGUCACAAGGCAAAGGGCUGCCUGAGGCCUUAGUAUGGGCGUGUGGCAUUUCCCAGGCACCCGGCCAAGUUCCAUUUACUGUCACUAAGGGCCUGUUUUGCCCUCGGACUCUGUAUUAAGGUAAAGGACAACUUGAGGCCAGAUUGGGUCUAGUCUUUACGUGAGCACUUGAGGCAAAAAAUGCCUUUUCCCAGAGCACAGGACAAGGGUGCAGGGAUUCCUUCUAGUGGCCCUGGGCCAGGAGACCACCCAGUAAUGUUGGCCAGCCAUGGGGAGGGAUGCCACUGAGCUCCUGGAAAGGUGCAGUUGAGAGGUGCCCUCUGCUCAGGCAUCAUGUGAGUUGGACAGCCCUUCCCUAACACUAGCACCAUUUAAUGCAAUCCAGUCUGUUAAUGGAUUAAGAUAAGCUGAAAGAAAAUAUUCAAACUGAAGUAAACUUCAGUUAACCUGGACUAGUGGGUGUGGACAAGGUCACACGGACGUGCCCCUGUGUACAGUCUCUGACUUGGCAGCACUGACAUGGUUAAGUAAGGUGCUUCGCACAAAGAAUUAGCAGAUUAUUUCUGCCCGGCAUUGACAUUAGUUGGGGUUUAAAUAAUGGCAAACCUU